This 496-nucleotide ribosomal RNA is filed under the name uncultured bacterium. Its description in RNAcentral is "bacterial SSU rRNA". It matches the Rfam family "Bacterial small subunit ribosomal RNA", at positions 9 to 498 of the family's 1533-position model. The record is from RNAcentral.
GAGUUUGAUCCUGGCUCAGAUUGAACGCUGGCGGCAGGCCUAACACAUGCAAGUCGAGCGGUAGAGAGAAGCUUGCUUCUCUUGAGAGCGGCGGACGGGUGAGUAAUGCCUAGGAAUCUGCCUGGUAGUGGGGGAUAACGCUCGGAAACGGACGCUAAUACCGCAUACGUCCUACGGGAGAAAGCAGGGGACCUUCGGGCCUUGCGCUAUCAGAUGAGCCUAGGUCGGAUUAGCUAGUUGGUGAGGUAAUGGCUCACCAAGGCGACGAUCCGUAACUGGUCUGAGAGGAUGAUCAGUCACACUGGAACUGAGACACGGUCCAGACUCCUACGGGAGGCAGCAGUGGGGAAUAUUGGACAAUGGGCGAAAGCCUGAUCCAGCCAUGCCGCGUGUGUGAAGAAGGUCUUCGGAUUGUAAAGCACUUUAAGUUGGGAGGAAGGGCAGUAAAUUAAUAACUUUGCUGUUUUGACGUUUACCGACAGAAUAAGCACCGGCU